UGGGGAAUAUUGGACAAUGGGCGAAAGCCUGAUCCAGCCAUGCCGCGUGUGUGAAGAAGGUCUUCGGAUUGUAAAGCACUUUAAGUUGGGAGGAAGGGCAUUAACCUAAUACGUUAGUGUUUUGACGUUACCGACAGAAUAAGCACCGGCUAACUCUGUGCCAGCAGCCGCGGUAAUACAGAGGGUGCAAGCGUUAAUCGGAAUUACUGGGCGUAAAGCGCGCGUAGGUGGUUUGUUAAGUUGGAUGUGAAAUCCCCGGGCUCAACCUGGGAACUGCAUUCAAAACUGACUGACUAGAGUAUGGUAGAGGGUGGUGGAAUUUCCGGUGUAGCGGUGAAAUGCGUAGAUAUAGGAAGGAACACCAGUGGCGAAGGCGACCACCUGGACUAAUACUGACACUGAGGUGCGAAAGCGUGGGGAGCAAACA
This 427-nucleotide ribosomal RNA is filed under the name uncultured bacterium. RNAcentral's name for it is "partial 16S ribosomal RNA". It matches the Rfam family "Bacterial small subunit ribosomal RNA", at positions 355 to 774 of the family's 1533-position model. The record is from RNAcentral.